UGUUAACUGGGGAUGUUUCCCUAGACUCAAAAGUGACUCAGACCUCAUCAUCUGACACACUGGCCAUCGGUGCUCUGAACUAAAACACGGAAGAUCCGAUUCACAACAGUCUUCAUUCUCCAAGAGCUGGGAGCUAUCACAUAUGGCCUGAUUUGAUCAGAAUGAGGGGCUCCAGCUUAAAAAAAAACAACAGUUCUCUUCUAUCUACAAGAAUUUGAAUCCAGAUCUUCCAGAAUCUAAGGCCAGCCCAUGGGUAUCUACAAUAUUACCAAUAGACUAAAGGAAGAAGAUGACUCUUAAAGACUAACAAGAAGGAAAAAAACAGAGAAAUCUUAAGGAGAAUAAUCUUUCAAAUGAAAAGGAAAGAAGAAAGAGAACUAAAGACAAGAAAGUAUCUCACUGCCCUUGAUGAGUUCAGGUCACCGAGCCAUUAUGAAUGAAUCUUUGGAUACCGAAUUAACAAGCAGUUGGGUCAGCAGCAGCUGCAUCUGGAAUGGAUCUUCCCAAUCUGGUUGAGUUCCACCAGUCCAAUCCACUGGAAGUUCUUGAUGACAGACGUAAUCACCAGAAUGAAAACUGUGCAGCAAAAAGUAUAAAGACCCCAGGAAAGAGGAUAAAAGUUCUCAGAUCCAUCCUGCCUGAAGAGGAGUUCUCCAGUUGUGCUGAAGAAAUCAAAGGAGGAGACUUAGGUCGCAGAGAACCGGGCUAUCUGAUCAAGGGCUCUGUAGCUGUCCCAACUUUAAAAGCACAUGAAUCCCAAUUGUUCCAUUCUACUUUAAACAGAAAUUUAAAACGUUGACUAACUUUGGGAGCGGGAAAAUACAUCUAACUUCUAAUCCAACUUGCUUUCUUCCUUUCUAAACUAAUCUAAUCUAAAUCUAAACUUCUUGAUAAAAAUCAGUAAAAGCCAAAAGGAAAGGUUUUUCAAAUCUCAAAAUGACAAGAUCUUGUGUGGGCUUCAAAAAGCAUCAAAAAUCACACUGGAAGAAGUACUGUUUUUUCUUGAGAGUGCUGUGGGGUAUUUAAAAGUAUUACAAGGAAACACAAUGGAUUUUGCUUUAAGGAAAUAAUUCCUUAAUGAUUCCUGGGAGGUCCCUGGGACCACUGUCGUUGCUGAAUACCAAAAAUUAUUUUUAAAGCAUGUUCUCUGCAAUGAAGUUAAAAUAAAUGGAUUUGAUUUUUUCAUCAGGAACAGCAUCUCUGGGAAGUGGAUUUAUGUAUUAUCUGCAGAAUGUGCAUGAAAUACUGAAAAUGAGAAAAGUUUGUGGCUUUCCUUUCAUCCUACUUUACUCUAAAAAUUGCUAACUUGUUGACACUCUUGCAAAGCAAAUUCAUUUGGCUGAUAGAAAAAAACAAAGGGGAAAAAAACCUAUUUCAAUCAAGAGAUUCCCUAUGUUGCUUAGCGAAGGAAAAACACAUUCAAAUUGCAAAUAAAAGAUGCUUAUAUUUUCACACUACUCUGUUAAUAGUGUGAU
Molecule: long non-coding RNA, 1475 nt
Organism: Antechinus flavipes (yellow-footed antechinus)
Lineage: Eukaryota; Metazoa; Chordata; Mammalia; Dasyuromorphia; Dasyuridae
Exons: 5
Source: RefSeq, a predicted model, not a curated record